Molecule: non-coding RNA, 229 nt
Filed under: Listeria monocytogenes
Lineage: Bacteria; Bacillati; Bacillota; Bacilli; Caryophanales; Listeriaceae
Description: T-box
Rfam family: T-box leader
About the family: Uncharged tRNA acts as the effector for transcription antitermination of genes in the T-box leader family. T-boxes are found upstream of many aminoacyl-tRNA synthetase genes and some amino acid biosynthetic genes usually in Gram-positive bacteria. The anticodon of a specific tRNA base pairs to a specifier sequence within the T-box motif, and the NCCA acceptor tail of the tRNA base pairs to a conserved bulge in the T-box antiterminator hairpin.
Source: RNAcentral
CUAAAGACAAUGAAAGAGCCAAGUAGCAUAGUGAGUCUGUAUAGGGAGAAGUGGUCAUAGACUGAAAGCCACUUUACAAACGAAUUUGUGAACAUUUCACCUCUGGAGUCGCCGCCGGGAAGCACGCAAUGUGUGAAGGUGGUCCGGUUACUAAGCCGUUAUCGAAUUUUGAGUGGGAACAAUUUUUUGUUCUUAUUAGGGUGGUACCGCGAGAAGUCUCGUCCCUUUG